RNAcentral lists this ribosomal RNA (458 nucleotides) under uncultured Glomus. RNAcentral describes it as "SSU rRNA". It matches the Rfam family "Eukaryotic small subunit ribosomal RNA", at positions 569 to 1033 of the family's 1831-position model. Lineage: Eukaryota; Fungi; Glomeromycota; Glomeromycetes; Glomerales; Glomeraceae. The record is from RNAcentral.
AGCAGCCGCGGUAAUUCCAGCUCCAAUAGCGUAUAUUAAAGUUGUUGCAGUUAAAAAGCUCGUAGUUGAAUUUCGGGAUCAGAUUGUCGGUCGUGCCUCGGUACGCACUGGCAUUAUUGGUUCCUACCUUCUGAAGAACCGCGAUGUCAUUAAUUUGGUGUCGUGGGGAAUCAGGACUGUUACUUUGAAAAAUUAGAGUGUUUAAAGCAGGCGCACGCUUGAAUACAUUAGCAUGGAAUAAUGAAAUAGGACGUUUGAUUCUAUUUUGUUGGUUUCUAGGAUCGACGUAAUGAUUAAUAGGGAUAGUUGGGGGCAUCAGUAUUCAAUUGUCAGAGGUGAAAUUCUUGGAUUUAUUGAAGACUAACUACUGCGAAAGCAUUUGCCAAGGAUGUUUUCAUUAAUCAAGAACGAAAGUUAGGGGAUCGAAGACGAUCAGAUACCGUCGUAGUCUUAACCAU